Molecule: long non-coding RNA, 535 nt
Organism: Fukomys damarensis (Damara mole-rat)
Lineage: Eukaryota; Metazoa; Chordata; Mammalia; Rodentia; Bathyergidae
Exons: 4
Source: RefSeq, a predicted model, not a curated record
GUUGCCCGAGGGCACAGAUGCCAGCUGGAACCCCUAGGGGUUUGGGUGGACACUGCCCACCCUGGGCUUCUUCUGAAGGACCUCUCCUUCCCCAAGGGCCUGGCUGGCAUCAGAGAUCGAAAUUCCUGGCCUGGAUAACUGUGUGAAAAAGCCUCUGGAGACUGAGCAGGAAUCCUGGGGUCUCCGAAGCAGAAACUGGGAACUGUUGUGUUGCUGCUGAAGGUUCCAACCAAACCCAGGAGACCCACUUCUUCAUUAACCCCUGGUGCAGGGAGGUGGGGGACAGCUGAGAAUGGAGUGGGAAGAGUGAAAAGACUAGGAAUCAAGUCAUCUUGCAAGCCCUCCACCCCUGGCAGCCUGCAUGGAGCUGUGUCCAGAGUAUUUCUAGAGAUGAUCUGGCCAUAGCGACUGGGAUCUUAUCCUGGACCUUAGAAUUUACCAGCCUCAGGACUCAGAUCUGGGCCACAGAAGACUGCUAUGGACCCCCCACCUCAGGGGUUGUACCCUGAGACCAGGAUCAGGAGUCAGCCAGGCC